RNAcentral lists this unclassified non-coding RNA (351 nucleotides) under soil metagenome. RNAcentral describes it as "partial contains 5.8S ribosomal RNA, internal transcribed spacer 2, and large subunit ribosomal RNA". The stretch from base 1 to 120 matches the Rfam family "5.8S ribosomal RNA", at positions 35 to 154 of the family's 154-position model. The record is from RNAcentral.
GAUGAAGAACGUAGCGAAAUGCGAUAAGUAAUGCGAAUUGCAGAAUUCAGUGAAUCAUCGAAUCUUUGAACGCACAUGGCGCCUUCCAGUAUCCUGGGAGGCAUGCCUGUCCGAGCGUCGUUUCAACCCUCGAGCCCCCGUGGCCCGGCGUUGGGGAUCUGCCACGGCAGGCCCCUAAAACCAGUGGCGGACCCGAAGGCCCUCUCCUUUGCGCAGUAGCAUCAGCCUCGCAUUGGGAUCCCUCGGCGUCCUGCCUCUAAACCCCCCACAAGUCCGCUCCGGCGGCACCAAGGUUGACCUCGGAUCAGGUAGGAAUACCCGCUGAACUUAAGCAUAUCAAUAAGCGGAGGA